UAGGGAAUCUUCCGCAAUGGACGCAAGUCUGACGGAGCAACGCCGCGUGAGUGAAGAAGGAUUUCGGUUCGUAAAACUCUGUUGUUAGAGAAGAACAGCGCAUAGAGUAACUGUUAUGCGUGUGACGGUAUCUAACCAGAAAGCCACGGCUAACUACGUGCCAGCAGCCGCGGUAAUACGUAGGUGGCAAGCGUUGUCCGGAUUUAUUGGGCGUAAAGCGAGCGCAGGCGGUCAAUUAAGUCUGAUGUGAAAGCCCCCGGCUCAACCGGGGAGGGUCAUUGGAAACUGGUUGACUUGAGUGCAGAAGAGGAGAGUGGAAUUCCAUGUGUAACGGUGAAAUGCGUAGAUAUAUGGAGGAACACCGGUGGCGAAAGCGACUCUCUGGUCUGUAACUGACGCUGAGGCUCGAAAGCGUGGGUAGCAAACAGG
RNAcentral lists this ribosomal RNA (429 nucleotides) under Bacteroidota bacterium. RNAcentral's name for it is "Bacteroidetes bacterium partial 16S ribosomal RNA". It matches the Rfam family "Bacterial small subunit ribosomal RNA", at positions 355 to 776 of the family's 1533-position model. Lineage: Bacteria; Pseudomonadati; Bacteroidota. The record is from RNAcentral.